GCGGGCGUGGUGGAAUUGGUAGACGCGCCGGACUCAAAAUCCGGUUCCGCAAGGAGUGCCGGUUCGACCCCGGCCGCCCGCACCA
Molecule: transfer RNA, 85 nt
Filed under: Sphingomonas sp.
Lineage: Bacteria; Pseudomonadati; Pseudomonadota; Alphaproteobacteria; Sphingomonadales; Sphingomonadaceae
Also listed under: 2 other names
Description: tRNA-Leu
Rfam family: tRNA
About the family: Transfer RNA (tRNA) molecules are approximately 80 nucleotides in length.
Source: RNAcentral